Camelus ferus (Wild Bactrian camel) is the source of this 73-nucleotide non-coding RNA. The record is from Rfam. Lineage: Eukaryota; Metazoa; Chordata; Mammalia; Artiodactyla; Camelidae.
GGAGGGUACAGCUCAGUGGUACAGUGUGUACUUAGCAUGCACAAGGUCCUGGGUUCAAUCCCCAGAAACUCCA